UUGCUACAUUUGUAGAAACGGUCAGUCUGUAUGGAAAUUGUGUAAAUUUUCAGAUUUUCCGUGAGAAUUUUAGUUUAUUUUCACAUUAGUUAGCGAGAAUAUUGGUUUUGAAUAAGUUCAUUCUUGACUAGGAUGAAAUGAAUUUUACCAUAUAUUUUGAGAGGAACGGAAAUUGGGGUUUUGUAGAAGAAAUAUUGGAUGGCCAAUCUUGAUAACAAGACCGGUCAAGCAAGAAUGAGAAUGGAAUUGCACUUCCAUUCUUUUCCAAUACUUGCCACCAAAUUCCCCUUAAAUUUAUUUUAGAACUCGUUAUUUGAAACGAUUAUUCAUUCCUCCUUUUUUUUUUUUGGUGUGUGAUCUUUUUUAAGCAAGUUAUGAUUGCCACAGUUCCAUAUAAAGACAUAACACCAACCUUUUUCCUUUUUUUGUGUUUUUUUUUUUUUUUGCCCUUUUGCUUAAAUGACAAAUGCAGGAUCAGUAAAUGGAGCAAACUGCAAAGAACUGGCAGCACAGCCAGAUGUGGAUGGCUUUUUGGUUGGUGGAGCCUCUCUAAAGGUUUACUCUUCAGAUAUGUCUUAUUUCACCAUUUUACGACUUGAUUUUGCUUUCUUUUAGUUAAACCUUAUUUUUUUUAAUCUUUGUAAUGAAUCAGCCCGAGUUUAUUGAUAUUAUCAAGUCUGUGACUGUGAAGGAGAGUGCAUGAACUUUGAAGUUGUAUAUUGGGACGAUGAGCAUCCAGCCGUUUCUUUACUUGUGGUAAACUUUAUUUGCAAGUUUGUGCUCGAAUUUGUAAGUUGGAAAAAUGUCAGUUGGCUUGUUUUCUUCUACCCGCCUCAUUCAUUAGACUUGAGACCCCCUUUUUUUGUCUCUCCCAGUCACUAACUUGGGGGGGAAAAAAGGUGUUCGGACUACCCUAUGAUUUGGUUGACUAGCGUUUUUAACCCUAAAAAGACAUUGCUUUACAUUAGACUGUCGGAAGGCACAAGGAAAUUCACAGGUUGCAGCAGGCAUUGUGUUUGGGGUGUCUGUGGGUUGGAUAGUUGUGAUUUGGAAUAGAAAUCGUAAGACAUUGGGUUUUCAUGAACGAAUUUGAUGAUCUUCCGGUAUGUCUUCUAAACAGACUCAUCGGCAACACUUCCAAAGAGUGCUAGGAUGAUUAAUCAUGUUCUUGACUGGGUUUGGAAUAAUGCUAUUUAGCUCGAUUGGUGCUAGAACUCCAGUCUAGGUGGGGGGUUAAGUGAUUGGCUCAAUGAAAGAUUGAAUUAAGAGAUUCAUUCAUAUUUGUGUCACUUAAAAUAGUAUUAUAAUAUCAGCAGUGCUAAAUAUCAUUAUUCCUGGAUUUGACGUAUCCUCACAAGUUUUAUCCAUGUUUGACUGGUUGUUGAUAAUGUGAAAUUCAAUCCACUGGUGCUACUGGACCGUUCAUAUCUGGUUCUUGGAUUUUCAGUCUGAACCAGUCAGUCUCCUGGAACAUAACUCUUAUCAAAAUUUCAACUUUUUAGCCAUAACUGCUUAUGGGUUUUGUAAAAUGCCUGAAUCUGAUUCUUAUGUGCCCAUGCCUUGGCCGUAGCCUGCAAUGGUCCCUGUUAUCAUCCUGCGCCCGCUGCCCCACAGGCUCCGUAAUUGAAUAUUUUUGGCUCCAUACUAUAGUUUGAUACGAUGUUUGGCUACGCUUAAAAAAAAAUGUAAAAAAUUACUUUUGAGGCUAGUUUGGAUAAGCUUUAAAGUAUGUGAAGGUCAUCGUUUAUUCACGUGCCCUUUGAAAUAUGCAAAGAUUGAAGAGUAUUUUUUUGUUCUUCCUAGUCGGACAGAAUGUAACUGGAUAACACCGGGCUCCUUAAUUAAUGUUAAAUGAUUGAUCAGAAGGAUUUGAACUUAGUAUGCAAGAUUAACG
RNAcentral lists this long non-coding RNA (1894 nucleotides) under Olea europaea subsp. europaea. Lineage: Eukaryota; Viridiplantae; Streptophyta; Magnoliopsida; Lamiales; Oleaceae. The record is from RNAcentral.